UCUUCCGUGGACCUCCAAGAAAGCCAUCUAUUUUAAAGAGGAACAAGGUUGAUCCACUGACUCCUCCCCAGGAACUGAAGCUGGUUUGGAGCCCCCAUAGUGGUGUGGAAGGGAGCCAAUCAUUUCACCUGCUGCUCAAUGCAGCUUACGCAUGCAUCUUGCUAAAGAUGAUGACCCAGCAACCUGAGCUGAUGAGGUGGUGGGUCUCAGUCCACUCUAAACAAGCUUGCAUCGUUUUAGCAGCCGACUGCACUUAUCUUUUGAGCUUUGAACCAUGCCCCAGUGGGGCAUGCUUCUUGAUCUCAUUGAUACUGGAGUUGGCCAUGUGAUUUGCUUCGGCCAAAAGUUUGAUAAAUGUGUCAUGAAAUGGAGCCUUCCAUGCGUCUGCACACUGGACUUGUGUUCAGAGCUCCACUCUGAGAAGUACAUAUGCCAAGUGACCAUGGAUCUGGGGAGGAUCAGAGACAUGUGGAACAGGUAUGUGACCAGCCAACAGCCCAGUGCGGGUGAUCUGUGCCUACAGAAGAGUCACUUGGCUGUGGCCCACCUACGACCCUCGAAUUCAGUUGUCAUAGGGCACUGGGAUUGUUCUAUAGCAUUAUGGUGACAAGAGCUGACUACAUUAACUGUGUCUGAUGGUCUUCUCCCAGGGCUCCUUGGAGAGAAUUUUGUAUAUGCCACAGACUCUGCAUAAGAAGACUAAAUUUUAAGUUAGUCUGGCCACUUUUCACAAUGUAGUACUAUGCAUUUAUAUAUCACAUAUCAUUAAACCUUCAUUAGGGCCGGACAGCAUGGAAGUAAGAGUAAGAACACAGCUCCUGAGCUUUUAAACUUUAAAGCCUGAUGGACUUAGGUAACCAUAUAAAUAAAUGGCAUAAUUACAAGUGGAGGUAAAAUCCC
This 900-nucleotide long non-coding RNA is filed under the name Felis catus (domestic cat). Its description in RNAcentral is "lncRNA (ENSFCAG00000042479.2)". The record is from RNAcentral. Lineage: Eukaryota; Metazoa; Chordata; Mammalia; Carnivora; Felidae.